UUCCUACGGGAGGCAGCAGUGGGGGAUAUUGCACAAUGGGGGAAACCCUGAUGCAGCGACGCCGCGUGAGUGAAGAAGUGUCUCGGUACGUAAAGCUCUAUCAGCAGGGAAGAAAAAAAGUCUUUGGCUUUGGACGGUACCUGACUAAGAAGCCCCGGCUAACUACGUGCCGGCAGCCGCGGUAAUACGUAUGGAGCAAGCGUUAUCCGGAUUUACUGGGUGUAAAGGGAGCGCAGACGGCAAGGCAAGUCUGAUGUGAAAGUCCGAGGCUCAACCUCGGGACUGCAUUGGAAACUGUCUGGCUA
This 305-nucleotide ribosomal RNA is filed under the name uncultured bacterium. Its description in RNAcentral is "bacterial SSU rRNA". It matches the Rfam family "Bacterial small subunit ribosomal RNA", at positions 336 to 643 of the family's 1533-position model. The record is from RNAcentral.